Vicia villosa (hairy vetch) is the source of this 1181-nucleotide long non-coding RNA. RefSeq lists it as uncharacterized. The transcript is spliced from 7 exons. Lineage: Eukaryota; Viridiplantae; Streptophyta; Magnoliopsida; Fabales; Fabaceae. The record is from RefSeq and is a predicted model, not a curated record.
CACGGUAGACAAGACCAAACCCAAUUUCAAUAUUUCCCUCUCAUUCUCUUUUUCAAAUUCAUUUAGCUUCCUCCUUCUCUCUCCACACUAAGCCUCCGAUAUUCCCUUCUCUCUUCUUAGCAUUCCACAGAUUUUUGAGCAACCAAGUCUAGACAACCUAUUAUGAUUUGCGACUUAAAACCCGAACAAAAUGUUUGGAAGAUAGCUAUUUGUGUCGAUGUAUGGGACGUCAAGGGACACAAAGGCCAGCAGCAUGUUGAAGCUAUUAUUCAAGAUGCAAAGACUGAUCAAAUCUAUGUUGUAACCCGCUCCCGUGACUUUGAUGUUUGGAAGAAGACCUUGCAGGAAAUGCAAACCUACAUGAUUGGAUUUUAUAAUUUCUGGAAUGUUGCUUAUAUUGUGUAAAAAAUUUAUUAUUAUUUUGCUCUGACCAUUACAGAUUUUUGGAGGGUAAUCAUGAUCACACUCCUUCCCAAUCAUUAUCUCUCAACUCAUGUUCCUAGGGAGGUUUCGACGACAGGGUUUUCUCCUUCACAAAGGAUGUCAAAAGCAUUGCGGAUAUGAUCACUCUAACUGAAGAUUCAGGAAUCACAUGUUGAAUGUUGUUAGAGGGUUCUCAAUAUCAAAUUAAAAUGGAUUGUUCAUACAUUCAUGCUUUGCUCACUGCCAAUCUGAGAGACCAGACACAUGGUUUGUUGACAACUCUCCUGUCAUUGGAAACAAGGCAAUUGCUCUGGCCGUGGGAGACUGGUAUUUUGACCGAGCUGGUGUUAAGGACAUAGAUUGUCCUUACCCUUGUGAGAACACAUGCCACCAUUAGUAUAAUAACCUAAAAGAUGAUGUUGGAGCAGCAGAGGAACAACAAAAAGAAGCUGAAGUCGAACCAAAGGCUCUUCGAACAUUGACAUGGAGAAUGAUUUUGACCCAAGAAUAAAUGUGAAAGCAAUUAUAGGAAAUCAGUCUUCCUGCCAAAGCAAUUAUAGGAAGCAAGCACUUCAUUGAAAGCAAAGAUGUAGUAUCAUUUGUGUUUUUAUUUUGAAAUAUGGUGUUGGUUAUUCCCUAAGUUGUGAAGAGUGUGAUAAACAUGAUGCUCAUUAGUGGAAAAGCCAUAAAAUUUGUGUGUUGGAUUCUUUGACAGUCAAAAGAAAAAGCUUAUAGAAUCCAAUGGAAUUGGAUCUCAA